RNAcentral lists this ribosomal RNA (402 nucleotides) under uncultured bacterium. RNAcentral's name for it is "bacterial SSU rRNA". It matches the Rfam family "Bacterial small subunit ribosomal RNA", at positions 355 to 774 of the family's 1533-position model. The record is from RNAcentral.
UGGGGAAUCUUGCACAAUGGGGGAAACCCUGAUGCAGCGACGCCGCGUGAGCGAUGAAGCCCUUCGGGGUGUAAAGCUCUUUCGGCAGGGACGAAAGUGACGGUACCUGCAGAAGCAGCUGCGGCUAACUACGUGCCAGCAGCCGCGGUAAUACGUAGGCAGCGAGCGUUGUUCGGAGUUACUGGGCGUAAAGGGUGUGUAGGUGGAUAUUUAAGUGGGAUGUGAAAUACUCGGGCUUAACCUGGGUGCUGCAUUCCAAACUGGAUAUCUAGAGUGCAGGAGAGGAAAGUAGAAUUCCUAGUGUAGCGGUGAAAUGCGUAGAGAUUAGGAAGAAUACCAGUGGCGAAGGCGACUUUCUGGACUGUAACUGACACUGAGGCUCGAAAGCGUGGGGAGCAAACA